Chenopodium quinoa (quinoa) is the source of this 503-nucleotide long non-coding RNA. RefSeq lists it as uncharacterized. The record is from RefSeq and is a predicted model, not a curated record. The transcript has 4 exons. NCBI's taxonomy places the organism in Eukaryota, Viridiplantae, Streptophyta, Magnoliopsida, Caryophyllales, Amaranthaceae.
CAUUAAAAGUUACCAAAUGGGCAGGCUGUAAAUAUUUAGUUUCUCUCUCCUCCAAAACGCUCCCGGAAACGCUCUCAAUUUCGAAACAAAUUGUGGGUGGUAACACUGCUCAUAAACCCGGUGAAGCUACCAAAUUAUGAGUGGUAACUCAAACUUUGCUAAUGUCAGGUCGCGGUCGAGGUGGAGGAUAUAGAGGUGGAAGGCCGCCGAGUCGAGGCUGCUUAGGUGGUCGAGGGUUGCCGGAAGAAAGGCAGGUUUCUGAGCUUGAUGCUGCUGCAGUUUAGAUGCAAAUUGUGGUGGUGGUGUUGUUGAGGGGUUAUGGACAAGUUGGAUGUCAAGAGUUCAAGACUACACUGCAGCAGGAAGAAAGGAGCUGCCACUAGCACAUAUUGUGGCUUGAUUGUAAUCCUAGUUUUAAGCCAUUGUAAAAAAACAAAUUUGGAAUGAUAUUGUAAAAUUACAACUAUUUAUUAAUAAUAAUCCUAUUUUUUAUAAGGAUCUUG